UGGGGAAUCUUGCACAAUGGGGGCAACCCUGAUGCAGCGACGCCGCGUGAGCGAUGAAGCCCUUCGGGGCGUAAAGCUCUUUCGACCGGAACGAUAAUGACGGUACCGGGAGAAGGAGCUGCGGCUAACUACGUGCCAGCAGCCGCGGUAAUACGUAGGCAGCAAGCGUUGUUCGGAGUUACUGGGCGUAAAGAGUGCGUAGGCGGUUUUCUAAGUUCGGUGUGAAAUCUCCCGGCUUAACUGGGAGGGUGCGCCGAAGACUGGGAAGCUGGAGUGUGGGAAAGGCAGGCGGAAUUCCUGGUGUAGCGGUGAAAUGCGUAGAUAUCAGGAGGAACACCGGCGGUGUAGACGGCUUGCUAGACCAUAACUGACACUGAGGCACGAAAGCGUGGGUAGCAAACA
RNAcentral lists this ribosomal RNA (402 nucleotides) under uncultured bacterium. Its description in RNAcentral is "bacterial SSU rRNA". It matches the Rfam family "Bacterial small subunit ribosomal RNA", at positions 355 to 774 of the family's 1533-position model. The record is from RNAcentral.